Molecule: ribosomal RNA, 497 nt
Filed under: uncultured bacterium
Lineage: Bacteria
Description: partial 16S ribosomal RNA
Rfam family: Bacterial small subunit ribosomal RNA
Source: RNAcentral
GAUGAACGCUGGCGGCGUGCCUAAUACAUGCAAGUCGAGCGAACAGACGAGGAGCUUGCUCCUCUGACGUUAGCGGCGGACGGGUGAGUAACACGUGGAUAACCUACCUAUAAGACUGGGAUAACUUCGGGAAACCGGAGCUAAUACCGGAUAAUAUAUUGAACCGCAUGGUUCAAUAGUGAAAGACGGUUUUGCUGUCACUUAUAGAUGGAUCCGCGCCGCAUUAGCUAGUUGGUAAGGUAACGGCUUACCAAGGCAACGAUACGUAGCCGACCUGAGAGGGUGAUCGGCCACACUGGAACUGAGACACGGUCCAGACUCCUACGGGAGGCAGCAGUAGGGAAUCUUCCGCAAUGGGCGAAAGCCUGACGGAGCAACGCCGCGUGAGUGAUGAAGGUCUUCGGAUCGUAAAACUCUGUUAUUAGGGAAGAACAAAUGUGUAAGUAACUAUGCACGUCUUGACGGUACCUAAUCAGAAAGCCGCGGCUAACUACGUG